Small nuclear RNA from Peromyscus leucopus (white-footed mouse), 106 nucleotides. NCBI's taxonomy places the organism in Eukaryota, Metazoa, Chordata, Mammalia, Rodentia, Cricetidae. The record is from RefSeq and is a predicted model, not a curated record.
GUGCUCGCUUCAGCAGCACACAGACUAAAGCUGGAACAUACAGAGGAGAUUAACAUGACCCCUGCGCAAGGACGACUCGCGAAUCCAUGAAGCGUUCCAUAUUUUU